CGAAUCCUAGGUCACCGCACACCGCCGCCGCCGCUGCGAAUCCCUAGGGACGCCGCACGCCGCCGCGAAUCCCCAGGGACGCCGCCGCCGUCGUCGCGGAUCCCCAAGGGCGUGGUCGUGUUGCCCUGAUUGGAGGAGACCGUGCCAGCCUUGCCUUUUUUGGAGGACGAACACAUGUAUUUCGAGGCCCAUGUACGUCAAUCCCGACCUCCGCUUUCCCCCUUUUCCAUCGAGGGCCGUCGCCGCUGCUUCGUCUUCUAUCUCUCUGGAUCCCCAUCGGCACCCUCGCCAUGCCAUCUCAACGUCAGCGGCCCGACGACGCCGACUCCUUAUCGACUCCUGAGGCGUCCGCCUCUCUGCACUCCAUUAUCAGACUCCCCAACUGCCCGCCGGCUGCCUCCCUGCACUUUGACGCCGGCUUUCCACAUCUUCGUGACGCAACCAGAUCACUGCAAAUUUGCGCCAUUCAUGCCAGCAACCUAAUCAUAUUUUCAGCAUGCGUUUUUCUCUUUUGUGCAGGCCACAAUAUCAAUGGAAGAACAACGCCCAAACAUAACUGAUGUCUCCAUGUUCCAUUGGUUUGUCGGACAGAACAAUUGACAUGGCCAAAUUGCAUGUUUCAUUCUAGAUCGUAGGAGGUUGGACCUUUGGAUUUGGAUGCUAUCAUGCAGAUCGAGAAGGAAGUAGAGUAUAAAAUUUGCGGUGUUCAAGUUGUUACUUUAAGAUGAAAAAUAAAAGAGCAGAAAAGACGAUGAUGUGUACAGCAGAAAAUAAGAAGAUAUAUGGAGUAUGCUUCAGAUAUAGGAGGACUAGGUGCGUGCAUUGUAAAUGCAUACAUAUUUAAGUGGUGUCCAGGACAAUGAAUACAAAACAAAACGUUGCAAUGCAACGGCGAGUGGCAGCGGAGGGCUGGAGGCGGCAGGAGGAGCAGGUAGAUGAAAGCAAGUAAGCGACGGCGGCCUACAUGUAUGGCUUGGUACUGAAGAACAUCUGUUUAUCUUUAGGAGAUCUUGUGUUGUGUUUUGUUACGAAUUAUCGU
Aegilops tauschii subsp. strangulata is the source of this 1039-nucleotide non-coding RNA. The record is from RefSeq and is a predicted model, not a curated record. NCBI's taxonomy places the organism in Eukaryota, Viridiplantae, Streptophyta, Magnoliopsida, Poales, Poaceae.